AAAUUACUAACACAACACAACACUUGAAGGUAAUGAAUAAUUAAUAAAAUAAUAAAUGAAGAAGCAACAGUUUGAAUUGAUUUGAUAAUCUAUGCUUACAGAUUGGACUGUGUUGAUGUAUGCUUUGGAAGCUCUCUCGGGUGACCAGGUUAGUUUCAUAUUGGCUUUGAUGUGUUGGUGAUGGUGUUGGUGUGAGUGUGAAUUUGGAAAAGGAGGAUUCAGGGGUGUGGGUUUAAUUUAUGUAGGACAGGUGCAGGAGAUAAGGGUUGGGUUUGGACAAAGACAGUUGACUUUUCAUGCAUUGCUGAUUCAACUAACGUAUGGGAUUACGAUGGUGGUGGGGUACCCAAGACCAAUACCCUUUUUCCACUCACAUAUUUUUCUCAAGUGUAUAUUAAUGUCACAAUUUCUG
This 412-nucleotide long non-coding RNA is filed under the name Phaseolus vulgaris (common bean). RNAcentral's name for it is "long non-coding RNA (PVUL_LNC004343)". Lineage: Eukaryota; Viridiplantae; Streptophyta; Magnoliopsida; Fabales; Fabaceae. The record is from RNAcentral.